Neofelis nebulosa (Clouded leopard) is the source of this 859-nucleotide long non-coding RNA. RefSeq lists it as uncharacterized. The transcript is spliced from 3 exons. Lineage: Eukaryota; Metazoa; Chordata; Mammalia; Carnivora; Felidae. The record is from RefSeq and is a predicted model, not a curated record.
GGCUGAGUUUUCUGUAUGUCUCUGCUGUAUAUUUCAGAAUUGGAUAAUCCUUGCUUGCCAAUAUUGGACUAAUCUGUGGUUUUAGCUACAUAUGCUUCAAAGCUGGCUACAUGCUCACCAAUCCUGUUACCUCUUCCUGGGCACAUGGUUACCAGAGCACGGGGAGCCAUAACUAGUCCUGCUGGAAGGACUGUGCAUCAUCUGGAGAUCCUGAAUCUAAACCAGACGUAAUGAUGGAGUGUGACUUUGGGUUGUUCCUAUUAGCGAGGGGAUGUCGAGGGUACCUUAAAGCCACAAGAUGGAAGCAGCCUGGGUUUCUGAGAUGCUGCUUGGAGAAAAGCUGCCCAGGAGAACCACCUGACCAGGAAUGUCCACCUUGGAAUUUAUUUAAGCAAGAAAAUACUUGAUAACGUUCAGUGACUUGGGGUAUGUUUGUUCCAGUGGUUAGCAUAUCCUGAGCAAUAUACCACAUCAUAUAUUGUGGAGACAAUUAAUGGAAAGUAUGAUAGGGAGUAAUCACAUAAAAUGGCAUCUUUGUUGUUAGAGAUGGAAUGAAGGCAGUUUCUCAUUCUGAUCUCCAGAAUAACCUUGAACCCUGAAUGAGUUUAAAAUAUUGAGUCAGACGUUUAGAAGGAGGAUAAAUUUUCAUGGUCUUCUAGGGGCUUAUCUUAGCGGUGGAUAUUUGAAGGGUGAACGUGAAAAGAAAUCGGUGAGUUUACCACUCCUCAUUUUUGUUUAUUUGAGAAAAUAAAUAUUAUCUAGAGGAAGAAGGGAAGAGUAUGAUGCAUGUGUCAGAAUUGUUAGGUUCAAGGACAUUCCAUCUUUUUCCCCAAAGUUCAAAAGAGUUAUUUGUGUGUGG